This 446-nucleotide ribosomal RNA is filed under the name Salmonella enterica. RNAcentral describes it as "bacterial SSU rRNA". It matches the Rfam family "Bacterial small subunit ribosomal RNA", at positions 1 to 443 of the family's 1533-position model. Lineage: Bacteria; Pseudomonadati; Pseudomonadota; Gammaproteobacteria; Enterobacterales; Enterobacteriaceae. The record is from RNAcentral. RNAcentral also lists the same sequence under 1 other name.
AAAUUGAAGAGUUUGAUCAUGGCUCAGAUUGAACGCUGGCGGCAGGCCUAACACAUGCAAGUCGAACGGUAACAGGAAGCAGCUUGCUGCUUUGCUGACGAGUGGCGGACGGGUGAGUAAUGUCUGGGAAACUGCCUGAUGGAGGGGGAUAACUACUGGAAACGGUGGCUAAUACCGCAUAACGUCGCAAGACCAAAGAGGGGGACCUUCGGGCCUCUUGCCAUCAGAUGUGCCCAGAUGGGAUUAGCUUGUUGGUGAGGUAACGGCUCACCAAGGCGACGAUCCCUAGCUGGUCUGAGAGGAUGACCAGCCACACUGGAACUGAGACACGGUCCAGACUCCUACGGGAGGCAGCAGUGGGGAAUAUUGCACAAUGGGCGCAAGCCUGAUGCAGCCAUGCCGCGUGUAUGAAGAAGGCCUUCGGGUUGUAAAGUACUUUCAGCGGG